Molecule: long non-coding RNA, 1277 nt
Filed under: Mytilus galloprovincialis (Mediterranean mussel)
Lineage: Eukaryota; Metazoa; Mollusca; Bivalvia; Mytilida; Mytilidae
Source: RNAcentral
GAUAAAUAAAAAGUUAUUAUCUGCCUACUACAAGUGUUAAUGUGAAUGUUAUGGCCGGAUUUUUUACAGGCUCAAAAUGUUCGUGUCCAAGUAAAUCUGAUAUCUUGUUUAUCAUUUUGACGUUGAAUGCAGCAGGUAUUCAUGGAGUAUCUCAACUUUCUUACAUGACGUCAUAUGAUAAAUCAUGUGAGCUCCAUACGGAAGAUGUGAAGUGUCAUAUACAUCAAGGACUGUGGUAUUAUUGCGAGACAGCUCUUGGUAACAGCACUACAUCAUGUUCUUACGGUAAGUGAAAACAAAACUUUUUUUCAGCAUAAUGUCAAUUUCAUAAAACCGCAAUGCAAUAAGAAUAUGACAGACAAAACUAAGAUUUAUUGAAACUCUAGAUUACUAUAGUGCUAGAGUAUAAGAGUUCGGUGUUAUUUAAAGCGUCAAUUCCAAGGUGUAUGCAGCAGAAAACAAUCUAUCCUUUUUUAAUGGUGACUUAUUCGCCACGCGCAUUGUUAGAAAAGGAAUGAAAUAGAAUAGCAUUGAUUCGAUCGUUAACCAUGUUUAAAAGCCCAGUAUUUAUGAAAUGACUUAUGCUAUGCAUAAAAUUUUAGAGGCUUGAAAUUCUCUUGGUUCAUUCAAGUGAACCAGCAGCAGAAAAUUAUAAAAUGAAUACAUUAGAACUCAAACAAUUAUUUCACUUUUGAAGUAUUUCAAUUUGGAAAACCAGAAAUAUGCUAAGAUCAAUAAAUGUAUCUUUAAAAAAAUACUAGUUGCUAGCUUUGCGUUCGAUGGCAAAUAGUUCUAUUAUAUUCAUAAUAUUUAUGUAUAUUUAUAUCACUCGUAAUCUCACAUUUGUUUAUCUGUUGAUAUGAAUAUCCUUAUUAAGACCAUUAAUUUUUUUUAGAUCACCUCGAGGACUGGGUUAGAGGUGCUGCAAUUUUAUCAGCGAUUGGCAUGGCAACUCUUGUUUUUGUGUGGAUGAUGGUAGUUGUUACGUCGUGUGGUCUUAUGGGUUUGAAAUUGAAACCUCUAAAAUUUGCUCUCACUGUGGUGUCAGGUAAAGUACAAUUGCCAUAAUUUAUUAAAAUAAAACAAAAUAUAAAAAAAACAAUAAAUAAGCUUAGUACGACAUUUGGUUUUGAUUUUUUAAUGUGUGUUUUGUAAUUGAAGUUAAAAGGGUUGCAGUUGGUCAAAUUAGUUUUCUGGCAUGAUACAUCACAAUCAUAUGCAUUCAAUAUUUUAGUAUAAAUGCAGUAUAAACAUUGAAUGUUCCCUUAUGUUCACCG